UGGGGAAUUUUGGACAAUGGGCGCAAGCCUGAUCCAGCCAUGCCGCGUGCGGGAAGAAGGCCUUCGGGUUGUAAACCGCUUUUGUCAGGGAAGAAAAGGUUCUGGUUAAUACCUGGGACUCACGACGGUACCUGAAGAAUAAGCACCGGCUAACUACGUGCCAGCAGCCGCGGUAAUACGUAGGGUGCAAGCGUUAAUCGGAAUUACUGGGCGUAAAGCGUGCGCAGGCGGUUAUGCAAGACAGAGGUGAAAUCCCCGGGCUCAACCUGGGAACUGCCUUUGUGACUGCAUAGCUAGAGUACGGUAGAGGGGGAUGGAAUUCCGCGUGUAGCAGUGAAAUGCGUAGAUAUGCGGAGGAACACCGAUGGCGAAGGCAAUCCCCUGGACCUGUACUGACGCUCAUGCACGAAAGCGUGGGGAGCAAACAGG
This 429-nucleotide ribosomal RNA is filed under the name Bacillota bacterium. RNAcentral describes it as "Firmicutes bacterium partial 16S ribosomal RNA". It matches the Rfam family "Bacterial small subunit ribosomal RNA", at positions 355 to 776 of the family's 1533-position model. The record is from RNAcentral. Lineage: Bacteria; Bacillati; Bacillota.